UAUUUGGAGACAGAGUCGCACUGAGUGGCUUAGCACCUUGCUGCUGCUGAGGCUGGCUUUGAACUCUGGAUCCUCCUGCCUCAGACUCUGAGCCACUGGGAUGUGCCCACACCUGGCCCCUGUUUACUUUUUGAUGUGUGUGUGUAGACAGAAGCUGUGGAUGGACCUUCAGGUUACUUAUUUAUUCAUUCACACCUCGUGCUGGGAAUCACACCCAGGGCCUCACGCAGGCGAGGCAAGCGCUUUGCCACCGAGCUACAGCCUCAGCCUCUUCAAUUAUUAUUUUUUUUAACUUGAAAUGGUUUCAUCAAAUUGCCCAGGCUGACCUUGAACUUGAGACCCUCCUGUCUCAGCCUCCUGAGUAGCUGGGAUGACUGAAAUGAUAUCAUUUUAAACACCCACAGGAUCUGCCUGCCCUAACCCAGCUCACAGGGCCUCCCAGCCCUUGGCCCCAUGCACGGAGCCCUGGCCACCUGUGAGGUGCUGUUCCGUUGGCUGUUGAAGGUGAGCUGCGGGAGGGAGGUCUCCCGGACCCCAGAGCUUCAGAAUGCAAGUUACUAAGAGCUCCGUGAGUCCCUACUGGACGUCCCAGCGGCUGGGGAGGCUGAGGCAGGAGGAUGGCAUGUUCAAGGCCAGCAACUUAGUGAGACCCUGUUUCAAAUUAAGAAAGGAGCAGGGCUGGGCGUGGCUUGGUGGCAGAGCUCCCCCGGUUCUGUCCCAUCGCCUUCCUCCCCGUCUGGGACAGGGACGAUGGGACAGGGUGGGGAACAGGCGACUUGAGGCUGUCUUGGCCUCUGGUUUUCACCCAGUCGCUGAGGCAUCAGGCCCUGGAACAUGGGCUCCCCAGGGACACACAGCGGCCACGGUUCCAGUCGGGAAACCAAGCAAAGAGACCGAGUCGGCCUCUCCUGGGCUGAGGCUCAGCCGGGGAGGAGGACGCCCAGGCUGCAUCCCACUGCGGAGGCGGGGUCUGCCGGGUGACUUACCUGCAGCACAAAGCCACGUACAGGCUCCGUGUGCCCAGUGGACAGCGCUUGCCUGGCAGCGUGAGGCCCCGGUCCCCUCCCAGCAAGCCCUGCCCCUUCUCAGAGGGACCCGCGCAUCUGCAACCUGGGAGCCCAUCCCUGGGAGGACACCCAGACGCCCUGUUCCAAGGGGGAAGCCGGGAGGCGGCGUCGGAGCCUGCCUGCCUUCUUUCCCAGAGCUCGGGCACGACAGGUAUUUAUUGAGCAGCUACUGUGUGCCAGCCCCUCAUCACUGCCCGUUACGUGGUGACACUCAGUCACCACGCCGCGGUUCCAGCUUCAUGCAUGUGCUCAGAAUCUAGUCCUGUCCCUCCAACUGUAAGGCGACCAGCCUGGCACAGGUCCUUACCGUCCUGCUCAGCGCAGUGGUCUCUCACCUCCUUUAGAAUCUGGAGGAUGCGAGGGACGACAAUAAAG
RNAcentral lists this long non-coding RNA (1442 nucleotides) under Marmota monax (woodchuck). The record is from RNAcentral. Lineage: Eukaryota; Metazoa; Chordata; Mammalia; Rodentia; Sciuridae.